RNAcentral lists this ribosomal RNA (509 nucleotides) under uncultured bacterium. Its description in RNAcentral is "bacterial SSU rRNA". It matches the Rfam family "Bacterial small subunit ribosomal RNA", at positions 791 to 1301 of the family's 1533-position model. The record is from RNAcentral.
UAGUCCACGCAGUAAACGAUGAAUGUUAGUCGUCGGGGGCUCGUCCUUUCGGUGAUGCAGCUAACGCAUUAAACAUUCCGCCUGGGGAGUACGGUCGCAAGAUUAAAACUCAAAGGAAUAGACGGGGACCCGCACAAGUGGUGGAGCAUGUGGUUUAAUUCGAAGAUACGCGAAGAACCUUACCUGGCCUUGACAUAUUUUAGAAUACUUUAGAGAUAGAGUAGUGCCUUCGGGAGCUAAUAUACAGGUGCUGCACGGCUGUCGUCAGCUCGUGUCGUGAGAUGUUGGGUUAAGUCCCGCAACGAGCGCAACCCUCGUCACUAGUUACUAACGGUUCGGCCGAGGACUCUAGUGAGACUGCCUUCGCAAGGAGGAGGAAGGUGAGGACGACGUCAAGUCAUCAUGGCCCUUACGGCCAGGGCAACACACGUGCUACAAUGGUCAGGACAAAGAGUCGCCAACUUGCAAAAGUGAGCUAAUCUCGUAAACCUAAUCUCAGUUCGGAUCGC